CGACAAAAAAAAAAAUUUCGUCGGCUAUAGUCCCACAGUUUAGCCGACGAAAAACAUGUCGUCGGUUUUUUUCCCAGACUUUAGCCGACGAAACAAUUCAGAUAUUCGUCGGCUAAAGUCUGUAAUAAAAUAUUUUUUCCCAGACUAUAGCCGACGAAAUAUAGUCUGUUUCAUCGGCUAAACCUUAUAAAAAAAUUAAAAAAAUAACUAUAGCCGACGAAAUAUAGUCUGUUUCGUCUGCUAAACCUUAUAAAAAAAUUUAAAAAAUAACUAUAGCCGACGAAAUAUAAUCUGUUUCGUCGGCUAAACCUUAUAAAAAAAAUUUUAAAAAUAAUUAUAGCCGACGAAAUAUAGUCUGUUUCGUCGGCUAAACCUAAUAAAAAAAUUAAAAAAAUAACUAUAGCCGACGAAAUAUGCCAUAAUUCGUCGGCUAAACCUUAUAAAAAAAUUUUAAAAUACUACAGCCGACGAAUAAACCUUUAAAUAUCGUCGGCUAAAGUUACUGGUUUUUGAAAAAAAAAAUUGCAGAAACUUUCGGCCACCUCCAAUCACCACCAAAAUUUGACAGAAUCUUCCUCUUAACAUUUCGAACAACUUUCUAGAAGAAGUCAAAGCCUAAUUCUAAGCCUAAACAGGUCAAUUGAAUCAAAAUAUAAAAAUCCCCAAUUUUAAACCCUAAAAACUUCAAAUUUUCGAUUCUCCUCACACACACCGAAUCGAACUACCAAAUUCUAGGGGAAUGUAGUACUAAUCAAACUCAACUUAUUCAUAUAUAGAACUCACCAAAUGGUGACCUGAGGAAGGAGAAAUUCGAUCGACACCGAAUCCGAACCGGCGGAGUUUUGGAGCUUGAUUUAUCCCUCACGGCGGCGCCACUCAAUGCACCACAUGUCCAGCAAUGUAGUAGAGACGAUGGCGAAGCUUUUGGGACAAGUGUGGCGGUCUCCGGUGGCUUGACGGCGGAGUUAGGCCGAGAAGAAAAUCUGGCAGGCGAAACAGACUUCUUACCAUCCACCUUCGGUAAAACUUCUAUAUAAAGAACUUUAGCCGACGAAAUUCUUUAUUUUCGUCGGCUAAACUCUUUUGAAAAUUUUAGUUGACCGCCAAAAAAUUUUGGUUNNNN
Molecule: long non-coding RNA, 1123 nt
Filed under: Fragaria vesca (wild strawberry)
Lineage: Eukaryota; Viridiplantae; Streptophyta; Magnoliopsida; Rosales; Rosaceae
Description: long non-coding RNA (FVES_LNC003623)
Source: RNAcentral